CGUCUGCUGCCCGGCCCGUUAGGACAACAUUCCCCGGGGCCUUAUUUCUUCUAUCGGGAGCUGCCUCUGGUCUGGACCCUGGUCCUAAUUAUGCGGCGCCCACCUGUACCUUAGGGUCCAGGGCGAACAAAAGUCCGACGGCCGGGGCGGCGUUUUU
This 157-nucleotide non-coding RNA is filed under the name Alphaproteobacteria bacterium. Its description in RNAcentral is "6S RNA". It matches the Rfam family "6S / SsrS RNA". Rfam says of the family: E. coli 6S RNA was the first non coding RNA to be sequenced, but its function was unknown until recently. Lineage: Bacteria; Pseudomonadati; Pseudomonadota; Alphaproteobacteria. The record is from RNAcentral.